GACGAACGCUGGCGGCGUGCUUAACACAUGCAAGUCGAACGGAAAGGCCCUGCUUUUGUGGGGUGCUCGAGUGGCGAACGGGUGAGUAACACGUGAGUAACCUGCCCUUGACUUUGGGAUAACUUCAGGAAACUGGGGCUAAUACCGGAUAGGAGCUCCUGCUGCAUGGUGGGGGUUGGAAAGUUUCGGCGGUUGGGGAUGGACUCGCGGCUUAUCAGCUUGUUGGUGGGGUAGUGGCUUACCAAGGCUUUGACGGGUAGCCGGCCUGAGAGGGUGACCGGCCACCAUGGGACUGCGAUACGGCCCAGACUCCUACGGGAGGCAGCAGGGGGGAAUCUUGCACAACGGGCGGAAGCCUGAUGCAGCAACGCCGCGUGCGGGAUGACGGCCUUCGGGUUGUAAACCGCUUUCGCCUGUGACGAAGCGUGAGUGACGGUAAUGGGUAAAGAAGCACCGGCUAACUACGUG
This 468-nucleotide ribosomal RNA is filed under the name uncultured bacterium. RNAcentral describes it as "partial 16S ribosomal RNA". It matches the Rfam family "Bacterial small subunit ribosomal RNA", at positions 28 to 507 of the family's 1533-position model. The record is from RNAcentral.